AAACCAAAAUAAGUAAUUGUAUUUAUGAUAUUAUAAGAUCCUUAAUAACUGUCGUUAAAUAAUUAGGCAUAACUACAUAGCUAUUAGAAUAAUGAUUAAGAAGUUAUUAAUUGCCUUUCUUUUAGUUAACCUUUUGACCCUGCCAUCGAGAUUUUCCCAGCCACUAUGCCAUGCAGGGAAAAAACGCUAUUAGGCUAACUCACCGGAUGUGUACAGUUCGGAUGUAAAUCAGAAAUGGCCACGUAGGUAUGAGCAGUGGCAUGAGUGCACACCAUGAAGAAUAUGGCUUCUAGAAGAUGCUGAAUAUUUAUUUAUAACUCUGAAACCUUAUACACCAGAAGAGCUACUUCAUAUUCUCAGAGGCUGGGUUUCGGCUGCAGUAAACCAAAACCCUCCCACCAAGCACAAACAAUGGCGAUUCUCUUCAGUCAGACCUGUGAUGCUACAUCUUUGCUGAAUGUGCCCACAUCUUUGCAGUCAGACCUGUGAUGCAACAUCUUUGCUGAAUGUGCCCACAUUGUAGAUUCUCCAGAGACUGAAAUAUAGCAAUUAUAACUUGUUUGUGUAGCUAGGUAAAGGUAUUGUUGGCUUUUUUUUUUGACCGAAAGCGAUAUGCAUAAUCAUUGAUUAUUGACACAAUUCUCCAUUCUGAUUAAUUGAGUUCUCAAUUUUAUAUUUAAAAGUCUUCCAGAAUGGGCCAAUAAACAUAAUCUACAUAACAUAG
This is a long non-coding RNA of Anguilla rostrata (American eel), 724 nucleotides long. RefSeq lists it as uncharacterized. The record is from RefSeq and is a predicted model, not a curated record. The transcript has 3 exons. NCBI's taxonomy places the organism in Eukaryota, Metazoa, Chordata, Actinopteri, Anguilliformes, Anguillidae.